Molecule: ribosomal RNA, 506 nt
Filed under: uncultured bacterium
Lineage: Bacteria
Description: partial 16S ribosomal RNA
Rfam family: Bacterial small subunit ribosomal RNA
Source: RNAcentral
AUUGAACGCUGGCGGCAGGCCUAACACAUGCAAGUCGAACGGUAACAGGAAACAGCUUGCUGUUUCGCUGACGAGUGGCGGACGGGUGAGUAAUGUCUGGGAAACUGCCUGAUGGAGGGGGAUAACUACUGGAAACGGUAGAUAAUACCGCAUAACGUCGCAAGACCAAAGAGGGGGACAUUCGGGCCUCUUGCCAUCGGAUGUGCCCAGAUGGGAUUAGCUAGUAGGUGGGGUAACGGCUCACCUAGGCGACGAUCCCUAGCUGGUCUGAGAGGAUGACCAGCCACACUGGAACUGAGACACGGUCCAGACUCCUACGGGAGGCAGCAGUGGGGAAUAUUGCACAAUGGGCGCAAGCCUGAUGCAGCCAUGCCGCGUGUAUGAAGAAGGCCUUCGGGUUGUAAAGUACUUUCAGCGGGGAGGAAGGGAGUAAAGUUAAUACCUUUGCUCAUUGACGUUACCCGCAGAAGAAGCACCGGCUAACUCCGUGCCAGCCGCCGCCGUAA